GUUAAAGCAUCCAAUGGAUGAAACCGAUCCAAUCCAAUACAUCCAUUGGAUCGGAUUGGAUUGGAUGACUCAAACAAUUGGAUUGGAUCGGAUGGCAAAAUUCAAUAUCCAAUAAAUAAUUGGAUUGGAUCGGAUGGGUCCAAGUCCAUUGGAUGUGAUCCAAUGAACACCCCUAGCUACAACCAUCGAAACUACAUCAUCGUCAUCGCCUUUACCAUAAACAUCGACACUACGUCUCCACCAUAUUAAUGAAAAUUGAGUCAAUCCCAUUUUCCUUCAGGAGACUAACAAACUGUAUGAUUAUUAUCAAAAUGUGAGAAAUAAGGAAGGGUCAACGAAGAAGAGAAACAACCACAACAGCACUAGUUGCUGCUGCAGCUGUGUAAGGGAGUUGAUGGUGGUGUGGCUGCAACGGUUUGAACUUGAGGACGACUCCGAUUGCUGUUGAUGGUUGAGAAUCUUUGAGAGAGAAUUAGAGGGUAUAGCUCCAAGGAAGGAGAUGACUACAAAGUUCGAGAUUAGGGAAAAGUUAUGCAAAUUUAGAGAAAAGGUGUGAAAUGGAGGGGUAUAAUUGGAAGAAAGAAUGAAAAAGAGGGUAUAAAUUAAAGAAAUAUGAACCGCAAGUAAAAAUGAGAGACACCAACUUAAAAAGGGUAUACGAUCUAAUUUCCCUUUUUUUUUUUUAAAGAGAAAGAAUGAUGGGCCAUAAAUAAUUGUGAGGGAAGAGAGGGAAAAUGGUUUAAUUUUUGAUAAAACACUUGUCUUUAUUCAUUACUCGUCUAAACAAAGUGCAACCUUUCCUUCGACGGACCUUGCCGGGAACCGCCCUUCCGCCUCGCCGUGGACCAACAAAGUCAAAGUGCGAACUCAGAACCAAUCGCUUGGAACAUCUUCUGAAACGUUCUAACUGCUGAAGCUAAGGCUGAAGGAAGAACAGUAGAGGCCCAGAAGUCCAUUGUUCUGAAAUACAAGCUCAACUACAUUGUUAUACCUUAUUGAGCAGAACAUGGCACAGUUAGUAGUGAGGCUCAUGAUGUGGACUAAAUAAUUGGUUGUAUGGCUUUUUGGUUUGUGCUUGUCUUUCACUCUUCACCCCAAAUUUUUUGAAAGCCUUUUAAGUUUUGAGGGAACUAAACUCUGAUUCAGUCUGAGUGUGAGACACCAAAAUGGGAAGACGUAGGCUAGUUUACUAUUCGGAUGAAGAUGAAGGAGAGAACAAUAACAAUCAACCUCAACCCCAGACCCAAUCCCAAACCCACCCCGAACAACCUUCUUCUCUCCCUUCAAGUCCUAGUCCUACUACUAAUAAUGAGGCUCAUGUUUCACCCCUUGAAAUAUCCGAUGAUGGUGAUUUUGUUGAAGUUUCAGAUGAUGAUGAGGAGUUCAUAGACGUCUCUGACAACCUCUCACCUCCUUCACCUCCUUCUCCGCCAGCUCCAGCGCCACAUUCUGAUCACCACAUGCCUCAUCCUAGUACAUUCGGUUGCCCCGUUGGUGACUUUCUUCAAGGGCUUGGAUUAAGGCUGAAGAGAGAAUGGCUUGAUGCUUGUGUUCAGGGACUUGAACGGUCUGUACCGGGCUUUGAAGGCCUCAAUGUUAAUGUGAAAGCCAAGCUUUGUUUUGAACGGUUCUUGGUUUCUGAUAUGAAUCAAUUUGGUGGUGGUUUGCUUCCUGAAAAUGUCCAUUCUCUUCACCUUGUUGAUCUUCCAGGGCGUUAUGUGUUACAGGUUGAUGAGAUUGUCAACAUAAGCUGUCCAUUAAAAAGUAGGUAUCAGAAAGCAGCUCCCGGGAUCAAGAGAUGUCUUAAGUUGUCAAUGACAGAUGGCGUUCAACGUGUGUUUGGCAUGGAAUACAGACCAAUUAAGGAUCUUGAUGCUUUGUCUCCGGCUGGAUUGAAGGUUGUCAUAUGUAAUGUGCAUGUACGGCAUGGACUUCUUAUGCUGGUCCCUGAAACCUUCGAAGUUCUAGGGGGACUAGUUCAGGAGAUGGAGGAAGCACGACAGCGGCUUGUAGAUGAAGUUAAUAAGCCGCCAAGAGGAAUAAGAACCAGGAACAGAGAACUUCCUCCUUUGAGGACUCGAGCAACUCUUGCUGCAUGGUCAUCGAGCAAUGAUCAUGUUCCUGGGAACAACCAUAACACAACAUCUGAUUUCAGAACCCCCUUACAGGUGCAUCAAGCUGCUGCUACUCAUGUUGCGCCGAGUACUAAUACCAAUCAAAGGAUGGAGGAAGACAUCCCUGGACGUGUUAAUGAAGAAAAUUAUAAUCCCAACCCAUCAGCUAAUGUUCAUGAUGUGGAAGAGUCUCCUGAUACUUAUGUUGCACCUGGUAAUGUUGCUGGUCAAAGGAAUAAGGAGGAGCUCUCUGGUCGUGUUAGUGGAGAAAAUUUUAGUCGCAAUCCAUCAGCCAAUGUCACUUUUGGCGAGGAUGGUUCUCCUGCUCCUGCCAGUGCCGAAAGUGUUAUUUCUAAAGCACCCCGCAGUGUUGUUGCAGGUAUAGAACACCUCCAUAUGAAUUCUAUAGGCCCUAACAGCGCAAGUGGUUCGCGCCCCACCGGCCAAUCUUCUGAUGUCGCUUCAGUUAUGGAUGAAACAGAUACAGAUACAGUUCCCCCUACAACGAGAUAUCCAGUGUCUGAUCCAUAUUUAAAUGACAAUGAGGAUACUAUUAUGGUUGACUUGGUUCAACAUCCACUCAUUCUAUCAGGAGCCCGGGAACCCCCUUUCACUUACUUAUCUAGUUUGUCAGCCAAGUUGGCUGCAAUGACAGGAAGGGUUCAUUCUGUUAAGGGUAUGAUUAAGUGCUUUUUAACCGGUGUAAAAGGAUUCCAGUACAGGGAGAAAGCCACCUAUGAUCUUCGGGUGUUUGUUGAUGAUGGUAGUUUAAUCAAAGAGAUUCGAAUACAUCAUAAUCUUGUACAGAAAUUGAUAGGCCAUUCUCCACGAGAGGUAAUGGCAGCUCUUGCUUCUCCAGACACAGGAAUAGUUAACAACAUCAAGGAAACUCUGCGUAAUUUCCAAAACUUCUUAGCUAGUUUUGAGGGGAAAAUGCUUAUAGAGAUGCAUGAUCACCAUGAACAUCCAGUUGCUGUAGAGAUGAAUGUGGGCUGUCCCGAAUCUGAUGCAUUGUUACUUUUGAGAAGAGUGAAGUCCUCAUUUUCAUCUCCUCAAACAAGGUCUCUUCCUGUGGAUCCCAUUGAUCUAUCCCCUUAAUUGUCUUAAACUUCUUUGUCAUGGAAGAUCAUAAGGCCAAGGAAUUGGAAAGACAUGAAAAAGUUGCAGAUGGAUGAAGCAAUGGUCUCUUUGUUGAGCUAGAGAUCUAAAGCUAUUAAAGCCUGAAAGGAAAUAGGUGAUUUUUGAUGGGCUUGUACAACUGCAUUGGAUGAAAUGGGUUCAGUUUUUGGCCAGGCUGCAGACAUGGCCUGAAUACAUAUAAUACUUCCACUAUUUUCUUACUAAUAGUAUCUCUAUCUGUGGAGCCUGGUCUAGGCAUUAUCAGCAACUGGUUGGACCAUUCCAACACCUCAGGAAUAAAGGCAUGCGAAUAAUACAAAGACCUUAUCCAAGUUGGUACUGUCAAAUAGUAAGCUCCCUCACAUGCUUUGUUCACAAUUGCUUUUGCAGUCUCUUUGGCUGGCAUCAUUGGUGUCAUGCUCAUCUCAACCUGUUUCUAAAGUGCCUCUUGGGGUUAAGAAUUUUCCUCGAGUCAUUUUUGAUUCAGUCAAGCCUGGAGACACAAUUGUUAUGCCAACCUCUUUCUCUAUUUCCACUCUUAAUGUCUCAUAAAAGCUUGUCACUGCUGCUUUGGUAGCCUGAAAUGAAAAUUGUAAUAAGAAACUAUUAACUCAAACCACACUUUAAAAGAAAGUUAUACAUGUUUCCUUACACUA
Cannabis sativa is the source of this 3889-nucleotide RNA transcript. It is a transcript of the gene named recQ-mediated genome instability protein 1, with no coding region annotated. The record is from RefSeq and is a predicted model, not a curated record. The transcript has 13 exons. NCBI's taxonomy places the organism in Eukaryota, Viridiplantae, Streptophyta, Magnoliopsida, Rosales, Cannabaceae.